AUGGCGUGUCGUCAGCUCGUGUCGUGAGAUGUUGGGUUAAGUCCCGCAACGAGCGCAACCCUGCCUUUAGUUGCCAGCAGUUCGGCUGGGCACUCUAAAGGGACUGCCGGUGGUUAAACCGGAGGAAGGUGGGGAUGACGUCAAGUCCUCAUGGCCUUUAUGACCAGGGCUACACACGUACUACAAUGGCCGAUACAAAGGGCAGCGACACUGCGAGGUGAAGCCAAUCCCGUAAAAUCGGUCUCAGUCCGGAUUGGAGUCUGCAACUCGACUCCAUGAAGUUGGAAUCGCUAGUAAUCGUGGAUCAGCAUGCCACGGUGAAUACGUUCCCGGGCCUU
RNAcentral lists this ribosomal RNA (338 nucleotides) under uncultured Desulfobulbus sp. RNAcentral describes it as "bacterial SSU rRNA". It matches the Rfam family "Bacterial small subunit ribosomal RNA", at positions 1045 to 1382 of the family's 1533-position model. Lineage: Bacteria; Pseudomonadati; Thermodesulfobacteriota; Desulfobulbia; Desulfobulbales; Desulfobulbaceae. The record is from RNAcentral.